This 263-nucleotide ribosomal RNA is filed under the name uncultured bacterium. RNAcentral describes it as "partial 16S ribosomal RNA". It matches the Rfam family "Bacterial small subunit ribosomal RNA", at positions 793 to 1055 of the family's 1533-position model. The record is from RNAcentral.
GUCCUUGCCGUAAACGAUGUAUACUAGGUGUAACUGGACUCAACCCCAGUUGUGCCGUAGCAAACGCGAUAAGUAUACCGCCUGAGGAGUACACUCGCAAGGGUGAAACUCAAAAGAAUUGACGGGGACCCGCACAAGCAGUGGAGUAUGUGGUUUAAUUCGAUGCAACGCGAAGAACCUUACCCAGACUUGACAUGCAGAGGACGACUGUAGAGAUAUCGUUUCCCUUCGGGGUCUCUGCACAGGUGCUGCAUGGCUGUCGU